RNAcentral lists this unclassified non-coding RNA (227 nucleotides) under Hevea brasiliensis (rubber tree). Lineage: Eukaryota; Viridiplantae; Streptophyta; Magnoliopsida; Malpighiales; Euphorbiaceae. The record is from RNAcentral.
GAGGAUGGAAAGUUUGAUCCUUCAUGUGUUAGCUAUGUUGAGCAUGUCGACACAGAUUUACUGGCCAAACAAAAAGAGUCAAAAAAGAUGAAAAGAAAGAAGACAAAGUUUGAAGAGCUUCUUGCAACUGAAAUGCGUGGACAGGAUAUCUCCGCAGAUGAGGAUCUGGCUUUGGAAAGGAAGCUUGCGAAGAAGCUCAAGGUGAAGAGAGGGAAAUUACUUGGGGA